Ciona intestinalis (vase tunicate) is the source of this 729-nucleotide non-coding RNA. Lineage: Eukaryota; Metazoa; Chordata; Ascidiacea; Phlebobranchia; Cionidae. The record is from RefSeq and is a predicted model, not a curated record.
AAACAGUGCAAUGUUUCAGCAGGUCACAUAUGACCUACUACCAUAUAACACCGUUGUAAUUGUGCCUUGAGACGAAAACAAGUGCCGCACGCAUUUUCCGUUGAUGUUGAUUGCCCCCACGCCGGCGCUUAUUUCGCCUGUAUUCUUAGUUGCUCUAAGGCUGUGUCUUUUAAUCAGCAGUGACUGUGUGUUAGUGUUAUAGUGGUUGGUGCACGGCCUACCGGUUUAUGGUGUAUUAAAUCUGAUGUCGACAUUAGACAGCAACGUUCCACCAAAACUGAUGUCUGUUAUUUUAUUAGAUAAGACUUGUAAGUUAUGUAUGUACUACUACUACUGUAUUAGGUAAACAGCUGUAACAGGUUAACUGUUACGUCACUGGCAUUUCACAUGAAGAACAACUCUGCAAUAUAAAGCUUACGUACCAGCAACGUCACAGCAGCUCUAUUGAUUCAAGGGCAAAAGGGAAGUCGACUUUGUAAGGCAUACAGAGAGAACAUAAACAUAACGCUACUCAACAAGAAAUACGCGUGUGAACGCACGUGCAACUAGAAAAGCUUUAUCAUUUUGAAAAUAGAUAGAGAGCAUAACGACACGCCAGGAUAAAAGAGAGAUGGGCCUCCUUCCAGCAAACUUUUUUUGUUUACUUCUCUCGUUUGAUGCACACGUGCAUUUUGUCACGUUUGUUUUUAAUGGUUUGCGGCUUAAUGUUUAUUUACAAUCAUUUUAUUU